Molecule: ribosomal RNA, 427 nt
Filed under: uncultured bacterium
Lineage: Bacteria
Description: bacterial SSU rRNA
Rfam family: Bacterial small subunit ribosomal RNA
Source: RNAcentral
UGGGGAAUUUUGGACAAUGGGCGCAAGCCUGAUCCAGCAAUGCCGCGUGCAGGAUGAAGGCCUUCGGGUUGUAAACUGCUUUUGUACGGAGCGAAAAGGUCUGCCCUAAUACGGUGGGCUCAUGACGGUACCGUAAGAAUAAGCACCGGCUAACUACGUGCCAGCAGCCGCGGUAAUACGUAGGGUGCGAGCGUUAAUCGGAAUUACUGGGCGUAAAGCGUGCGCAGGCGGUUAUAUAUGACAGAUGUGAACUCCCCGGGCUCAACCUGGGACCUGCAUUAGUGACUGUAUAGCUAGAGUACGGUAGAGGGGGAUGGAAUUCCGAGUGUAGCAGUGAAAUGCGUAGAUAUGCGGAGGAACACCGAUGGCGAAGGCAAUCCCCUGGACCUGUACUGACGCUCAUGCACGAAAGCGUGGGGAGCAAACA